AUUUACGAAUGACGUUUAAGACGUAUAUUUUCAAGUGAAUUAUUAAAUAUUUUGAGAUUUUGAGAUGAUAUUUUACAUUUAUAUAUUAUUAUGGGUGUAAGCCGUAAGACUCAUGGAAAGAAGUCUGAUAAAGAAACACAAUCGCCAGUUCUGAAAAUAUUUAAAGAUAUAAUGCACAAGGAAAAUACAGAUCCUGAAAAAGUGAACUUGCUGAAAGACAAGAAGAGAGAAAAAAGGAGAAAAACUCAUCUUGAAUCUCGUCAAAAAUCUGACCAA
This 276-nucleotide unclassified non-coding RNA is filed under the name Melitaea cinxia (Glanville fritillary). RNAcentral describes it as "misc RNA ENSMCXG00005018635.1". The record is from RNAcentral. Lineage: Eukaryota; Metazoa; Arthropoda; Insecta; Lepidoptera; Nymphalidae.